Molecule: ribosomal RNA, 440 nt
Filed under: Flavobacterium cauense
Lineage: Bacteria; Pseudomonadati; Bacteroidota; Flavobacteriia; Flavobacteriales; Flavobacteriaceae
Description: bacterial SSU rRNA
Rfam family: Bacterial small subunit ribosomal RNA
Source: RNAcentral
CCUACGGGGGGCAGCAGUGAGGAAUAUUGGUCAAUGGACGCAAGUCUGAACCAGCCAUGCCGCGUGCAGGAUGACGGUCCUAUGGAUUGUAAACUGCUUUUAUACAGGAAGAAACACUCCCUCGUGAGGGAGCUUGACGGUACUGUAGGAAUAAGGAUCGGCUAACUCCGUGCCAGCAGCCGCGGUAAUACGGAGGAUCCAAGCGUUAUCCGGAAUCAUUGGGUUUAAAGGGUCCGUAGGCGGUUUAAUAAGUCAGUGGUGAAAGCCUAUCGCUUAACGAUAGAACGGCCAUUGAUACUGUUAGACUUGAAUUAGUGGGAAGUAACUAGAAUAUGUAGUGUAGCGGUGAAAUGCUUAGAUAUUACAUGGAAUACCAAUUGCGAAGGCAGGUUACUAUCACUAUAUUGACGCUGAUGGACGAAAGCGUGGGGAGCGAACAG